CGUAUUCGUGAAUAGUGCCGUAUACGUGAAUAGUGCCGUAUACGUGAAUAGUAACUCCGACACCAAAAGAUAGAAAUUUCACAAAAAACAUCUUCACGCUUCGUGAAUAGUACUCAUGAAUAGUAACUCGUGAAUAGUAACUCAUGAAUAGUAACUCGUGAAUAGUAACUCAUGAAUAGUAACCCCGACAUGAAAAAGUUCCAAAUUUGAUAAAAAUUUCCAACCAAUAUUUCGGCAUAAUG
This 242-nucleotide long non-coding RNA is filed under the name Panax ginseng (ginseng). Its description in RNAcentral is "long non-coding RNA (PGIN_LNC004684)". The record is from RNAcentral. Lineage: Eukaryota; Viridiplantae; Streptophyta; Magnoliopsida; Apiales; Araliaceae.